RNAcentral lists this transfer RNA (72 nucleotides) under Synechococcus sp. RNAcentral describes it as "tRNA-Cys". It matches the Rfam family "tRNA". Rfam says of the family: Transfer RNA (tRNA) molecules are approximately 80 nucleotides in length. Their secondary structure includes four short double-helical elements and three loops (D, anti-codon, and T loops). The record is from RNAcentral. Lineage: Bacteria; Bacillati; Cyanobacteriota; Cyanophyceae; Synechococcales; Synechococcaceae. RNAcentral also lists the same sequence under 110 other names.
GGUGGCGUAGCCAAGUGGUAAGGCAGAGGUCUGCAAAACCUCUAUGCGCCAGUUCGAAUCUGGCCGCCACCU